Long non-coding RNA from Haliotis rubra (blacklip abalone), 96 nucleotides. RefSeq lists it as uncharacterized. The transcript has 3 exons. NCBI's taxonomy places the organism in Eukaryota, Metazoa, Mollusca, Gastropoda, Lepetellida, Haliotidae. The record is from RefSeq and is a predicted model, not a curated record.
UUAUCCCACAUCUUGAGUUCAUCCGAGUGAGAAUUAGUCUUCAUGAACCCAUGCCUGUCGUAAGAGGUGACUAACGGGAUCGGGUGGUCAGGCUCG